RNAcentral lists this ribosomal RNA (384 nucleotides) under uncultured bacterium. RNAcentral's name for it is "bacterial SSU rRNA". It matches the Rfam family "Bacterial small subunit ribosomal RNA", at positions 335 to 708 of the family's 1533-position model. The record is from RNAcentral.
ACUCCUACGGGAGGCAGCAGUGGGGAAUAUUGCACAAUGGGGGGAAACCCUGAUGCAGCCAUGCCGCGUGUGUGAAGAAGGCCUUCGGGUUGUAAAGCACUUUCAGUAGGGAGGAAGGUAGUGUAGUUAACACCUGCAUUAUUUGUACGUUACCUACAGAAGAAGCACCGGCUAACUCCGUGCCAGCAGCCGCGGUAAUACGGAGGGUGCGAGCGUUAAUCGGAAUUACUGGGCGUAAAGCGCAUGCAGGCGGCCUGUUAAGUCAGAUGUGAAAGCCCGGGGUCUUAACCUCGGAAUUGCAUUUGAAACUGGCAGGCUAGAGUCUUGUAGAGGGGGUUAGAAUUUCAGGUGUAGCGGUGAAAUGCGUAGAGAUCUGAAGGAAUA